RNAcentral lists this ribosomal RNA (406 nucleotides) under uncultured bacterium. Its description in RNAcentral is "partial 16S ribosomal RNA". It matches the Rfam family "Bacterial small subunit ribosomal RNA", at positions 30 to 526 of the family's 1533-position model. The record is from RNAcentral.
AUUGAACGCUGGCGGCAGGCCUAACACAUGCAAGUCGAGCGAGCGGCGGAAGGGUGAGUAAUGGAUGGUGAUCUGCCAGAUAGAGGGGGCUAACUACUGGAAACGGUGGAUAAUACUGCGUACUGUAGGAUGAACACAUAUGGGAUUAGCUAGUAGGUAAGGUAAUGGCUUACCCAGGCGACGAUCCCUAGCUGGUCUGAUAGGCUGAUCAGCCACACUGGAACUGAGACACGGCCCAGACUCCUACGGGAGGCAGCAGUGGGGAAUAUUGCACAAUGGGCGAAAGCCUGAUGCAGCCAUGCCGCGUGUGUGAAGAAGGCCCUAGGAUUGUAAAGUACUUUAAGUCGGGAGGCGUUACCGACAGAAUAAGCACCGGCUAACUCCGUGCCAGCAGCCGCGGUAAUAC